UUUGCUGUGGGGAGUCUGGUAUGUGUUCAGGGACCGGCAGCUGUGGUACCAUUGUGGCUGAGGAGAAAGGUGACCUGGAAACACAGACAUGUGGAAAGCUGUGGCAUGGGAGGGGACACCAGUGCACCUCAGACUGCCUUAGCAGUCAAGGGCCUCCUCCACAGCGGGGCUACCCAACCUCUCACCCUAGGGGACAUUCAUCAGGUCCUCAAGGAGGAGAAAUCUGAGAAGGUCAUUGAGCCUAGUGCUUCAGUCUUUCAGGUUCAUACUUAACCUGGACACUUUGUUCAAAAGGAGAGCCUGCACUGUAACAAGCUCCCCGUGCUGCUGGGCUGGGGCCACACUAGAUACGGAGGAUUUGUUCUACCCCUAGGAGUCAAGAUGAGAAACAUGGAACAGGAAGGUGAUGGGACGAGCCAAAGAUCAUACAGAGAGGCUGUCUCCAUUCCCAUGCCUGUAUUUCCAUCUGUCUCCAUCACCAGAAUUGAACUUAGCCAACAAUUUCUCAUCUGCUCCAAGUUAAGACAGCCCUCAAAAGGGCCAGUGUGGACCAGCUGGGACCAGAGUGCUGGGUCACAUAAAAUGAAAAUUCCAACAUGAACACAUUGUUUGCCCCAGGGAAUGAAUGAAGGCCCCAGAAGACAGACAGGUCUAGGGCCAAGACAUAGCUAUCCUCUCCCCCUCUCUGUUCUUAGAGAUAAUAAGUUUGAUGAGAAGAAACUGAACAAAUAAAUGGCAAGUGAGAAUCCUCAAGAAGUCAAAUAAAAAUCCUGGC
Molecule: long non-coding RNA, 775 nt
Organism: Urocitellus parryii (Arctic ground squirrel)
Lineage: Eukaryota; Metazoa; Chordata; Mammalia; Rodentia; Sciuridae
Source: RefSeq, a predicted model, not a curated record